Molecule: long non-coding RNA, 339 nt
Organism: Diabrotica virgifera virgifera (western corn rootworm)
Lineage: Eukaryota; Metazoa; Arthropoda; Insecta; Coleoptera; Chrysomelidae
Exons: 2
Source: RefSeq, a predicted model, not a curated record
UCCAGAUAUUUAUGUUUUACUCAAAUAGAUUUAUUUAUUUGUCAUGUUUUAUAAUUAUUGUAUUUAAAUUUCAGAUUAUCAGGAUGAAAAGGCUACUGAAGAAUCUCAAUUUAUUGACAUGCAUGUAGGUCAGAGUCAAUAGAUGCCUAGGCUCAAAAUGGGACCCAUUUCCAUUGAGUAUAACGUGGAUCCCUGCACAAGGAUAUACGUGAAGACCAGAAUGGUAGCAGUCACGUAUAAAAUAUAUCUAUGAUAUGAUACUUCUGUAAUUCCAUACAAAUUUUGAUUGCUCAAGUAAUUUUAUAAAGUAAUUUACAGAAAUAAAUAACUUUUUAAGAA